Long non-coding RNA from Anthonomus grandis grandis, 787 nucleotides. RefSeq lists it as uncharacterized. Lineage: Eukaryota; Metazoa; Arthropoda; Insecta; Coleoptera; Curculionidae. The record is from RefSeq and is a predicted model, not a curated record. The transcript has 3 exons.
AUAAUUAAUAUAAGUCUAUUUUUUAAUAAUUGCUUGUUUCAGAUUUCGUCAAUGGGACGAAAGGGUUUUGGGAACAAAAUUCACAUGAACUAACUCAUUUCCUACAAUGAAAGUACUCUUGAUAAGAAUUUUUAAGAAGCCUAUUAUCUAUUUUUUAUACUAACUUAUCUUGUUUCAAAGUUGCUUGCCGCUGAAGUGACAGUGUUUAAAUGAUUUUUUUAUUAUAAGUCGGUCUACACAUUUUUACCAAAAGUUGAUAAUAUGUUGGCAUAUUUUAUUAGAAAAGAAAUCGAAUAUUGAUUGGGACGACUCACUUUUGGAAGUAAUGUUAUAAAACGAGAUUGGAACUGAAAAAAAAACGAAUUUACAAAUUAGGAUAGAUAUAGGAAUGAGGUCUACUCAACCUGGAAGGGACAAUAGAACAAAUCCAGAGGAUCAUCAAAACAUGAUAACAACUGAAUCAUACAAAAUUUUAACAGGCGGACAAAGAUGUACUAGACCUUACUAAGGACGUUAGGGGAGAUGUCGAACAUCCUUCUUCAUCGUUCUUCCGUCGAGAAGAGAAGACGACGGAAGAACGUCUUCCAAAAUGGUGAGGUCUUAAGAAAACAGAAAACUCCGCUUAAUUUUUUCCUUUUUAAAAAUGUAUAACAUUAUGGAUUUGUUUUCAAAAAUUACUAAAUAAGAGACAAUUUUGGUAAAAUAAUUACCUAUUAUUCUUAUUUUAAUAGUAGGCCCCAUUGUUUUUAAGAAGGCCACGACGGAAUAAUAGAUAAAUAAAAAACUA